Serinus canaria (Common canary) is the source of this 174-nucleotide long non-coding RNA. RefSeq lists it as uncharacterized. The transcript is spliced from 2 exons. The record is from RefSeq and is a predicted model, not a curated record. Lineage: Eukaryota; Metazoa; Chordata; Aves; Passeriformes; Fringillidae.
AUAUAUUUUAUUAAAUGCACAUAUUGAAAAGCAAGGGAGAAUCCUCUGUCUUCUCACAAAACUCAACACAAAGACAGUCACUAAGAUGUUCUCCUAUCUGAAAUAUAAGCUACAGGAAUGACCACAGCUGCCAGAGAAGCACCUUAUACAAAAGGAAGACUGUCUGGGUAAGAG